Schistosoma mansoni is the source of this 48-nucleotide non-coding RNA. The record is from Rfam. NCBI's taxonomy places the organism in Eukaryota, Metazoa, Platyhelminthes, Trematoda, Strigeidida, Schistosomatidae.
AUCCAGCUGACGAGUCCCAAAUAGGAUGAAAAGCGUGUCAAGCUGGAU